UACGUAGGGUGCAAGCGUUGUCCGGAAUUAUUGGGCGUAAAGAGCUCGUAGGCGGCUUGUCGCGUUGUUCGUGAAAAUUUACCGCUCAACGGUGAACUUGCGGGCGAUACGGGCAGGCUAGAGUACUGCAGGGGAGACUGGAAUUCCUGGUGUAGCGGUGAAAUGCGCAGAUAUCAGGAGGAACACCGGUGGCGAAGGCGGGUCUCUGGGCAGUAACUGACGCUGAGGAGCGAAAGCGUGGGGAGCGAACAGG
Molecule: ribosomal RNA, 253 nt
Filed under: uncultured bacterium
Lineage: Bacteria
Description: partial 16S ribosomal RNA
Rfam family: Bacterial small subunit ribosomal RNA
Source: RNAcentral